AAUUAAUGUAUUGAAAUGUAGCUAUUAUAUUAUAUUCCUAAUAAGAGAUUUAUAUUUUUUAUUUUUUUAAAGUUUUACUAAUACUAUUUUAUAUAUUAUAAUUAAUAAUUCUUAAACAUAGAAACAAGCACAUUCAUGAGAAAUAUUUUAAUAAAAUUUGUAAUGUUUCUAUAUAUAUAUUGUAGUUUUAGUAUAAGACACAGGGAAAUCCACUUUGCUCAGUCCUUCUAACCAAUCUUCCUCUUUCUUCAAAUUUUUGACGAUGAAACCCUCUCUAAUUAUCCUUUCCCUAUUGAAUUUUCUAAUGUCCCUCGACUUAGCAGUCGAACCGCGAGCUGGUUCUUACAAUAUUAAACAAUACUAUAAGAUUCCAUUGGAAGUGGUUCAAAUAAGAAAGAAUACGAAAGAAGAAGGAAAGUGACGCAUGCGUGUUGUAUGUCCUUAUCGAUUGCAGUGAUCUGGAUUUACCCAGAGUUCCUCUUACUAAACCGUAAUGGCGUCUUCUUGUGAUCGUAGUAUGUUUAUUCAAGGAAAAACUUUAAAUAGUCAAGUUCGAACGAUUAUUUUUAAUGUUUUUAAUUAUCUAAAGGAAAGUAAAUCUGGAGAUAGUAACGAUGCAAUUAUUAAAGAGACCAGCAAAGCAAUAGGCGUAUCAUAUUCAACCUGUCGAAGAAUAAUUGUGGACAGAACCACACCGGAUUCGGAAGAAAUAAUUCGAACCCCAGGUAAAAACGAUCAAGGAUAUCCGUAUUAACUGAUGUAGAUGAAUUUGAUCUUUCUGUUAUUCGGGCAACUGUGUCAGAAAUUUU
RNAcentral lists this long non-coding RNA (809 nucleotides) under Androctonus crassicauda. Lineage: Eukaryota; Metazoa; Arthropoda; Arachnida; Scorpiones; Buthidae. The record is from RNAcentral.